RNAcentral lists this ribosomal RNA (1332 nucleotides) under Holdemania filiformis. Its description in RNAcentral is "bacterial SSU rRNA". It matches the Rfam family "Bacterial small subunit ribosomal RNA", at positions 98 to 1444 of the family's 1533-position model. RNAcentral also lists the same sequence under 1 other name. Lineage: Bacteria; Bacillati; Bacillota; Erysipelotrichia; Erysipelotrichales; Erysipelotrichaceae. The record is from RNAcentral.
GCGAACGGGUGAGUAAUACAUAAGCAAUCUGCCCAUCGGCCUGGGAUAACAGUUGGAAACGACUGCUAAUACCGGAUAGGUGAUGAAGAGGCAUCUCUCGAUCAUUAAAGUUGGGAUACAACACGGAUGGAUGAGCUUAUGGCGUAUUAGCUAGUAGGUGAGGUAACGGCUCACCUAGGCGAUGAUACGUAGCCGACCUGAGAGGGUGACCGGCCACAUUGGGACUGAGACACGGCCCAAACUCCUACGGGAGGCAGCAGUAGGGAAUUUUCGGCAAUGGGCGAAAGCCUGACCGAGCAACGCCGCGUGAGUGAAGAAGGCCUUCGGGUUGUAAAGCUCUGUUGUGAAGGAAGAACGGCUCAUACAGGGAAUGGUAUGGGAGUGACGGUACUUUACCAGAAACCCGGCUAACUACGUGCCACAGCCGCGGUAAUACGUAGGUGGCGAGCGUUAUCCGGAAUUAUUGGGCGUAAAGGGUGCGCAGGCGGUUUGUUAAGUUUAAGGUGAAAGCGUGGGGCUUAACCCCAUAUAGUAAAACUGACAGACUAAGUACAGGAGAGGGCAAUGGAAUUCCAUGUGUAGCGGUAAAAUGCGUAGAUAUAUGGAGGAACACCAGUGGCGAAGGCGGUUGCCUGGCCUGUAACUGACGCUCAUGCACGAAAGCGUGGGGAGCAAUAGAUUAAUACCCUAUAGUCCACGCCGUAAACGAUGAGAACUAAGUGUUGGGGAAACUCAUGCUGCAGUUAACGCAAUAAGUUCUCCGCCUGGGGAGUAUGCACGCAAGUGUGAAACUCAGAGGAAUUGACGGGGGCCCGCACAAGCGGUGGAGUAUGUGGUUUAAUUCGACGCAACGCGAAGAACCUUACCAGGUCUUGACAUCCCCUGCAAAGACAUAGAGAUAUGUUGGAGGUUAUCAGGGAGACAGGUGGUGCAUGGUUGUCGUCAGCUCGUGUCGUGAGAUGUUGGGUUAAGUCCCGCAACGAGCGCAACCCUUGUCUUUAGUUGCUAACAUUAAGUUGAGGACUCUAGAGAGACUGCCGGUGACAAACCGGAGGAAGGUGGGGAUGACGUCAAAUCAUCAUGCCCCUUAUGACCUGGGCUACACACGUACUACAAUGGCGGAUACAACGAGAAGCAAGACAGUGAUGUGGAGCAAAACUCAGAAAGUCCGUCUCAGUUCGGAUUGAAGUCUGCAACCCGACUUCAUGAAGCCGGAAUCGCUAGUAAUCGCGGAUCAGCAUGCCGCGGUGAAUACGUUCUCGGGCCUUGUACACACCGCCCGUCAAACCAUGAGAGUUGGCAAUACCCGAAGCCGGUGGCCUAACCUCGCAA